CCUACGGGGGGCAGCAGUGGGGGAUAUUGCACAAUGGGGGAAACCCUGAUGCAGCGACGCCGCGUGUGGGAAGACGGUCCUCUGGAUUGUAAACCACUGUCCCCAGGGACGAAAAUGACGGUACCUGGGGAGGAAGCUCCGGCUAACUACGUGCCAGCAGCCGCGGUAAUACGUAGGGAGCGAGCGUUGUCCGGAAUUACUGGGUGUAAAGGGAGCGUAGGCGGGGAUGCAAGUUGGGUGUCAAAACUACGGGCUCAACUGGUAGUCGCACUCAAAACUGCAGCUCUUGAGUGAAGUAGGGGCAGGCGGAAUUCCUAGUGUAGCGGUGAAAUGCGUAGAUAUUAGGAGGAAACCCAGGGGCGAGGGCGGCCUGCGGGGCUUUUACUGACGCUGAGGCUCGAAAGUGUGGGAGCAAACAGGAUUAGAUACCCUUGUAGUC
Molecule: ribosomal RNA, 439 nt
Filed under: uncultured bacterium
Lineage: Bacteria
Description: partial 16S ribosomal RNA
Rfam family: Bacterial small subunit ribosomal RNA
Source: RNAcentral